GGGACGAACGCUGGCGGCGUGCUUAACACAUGCAAGUCGAGCGGUAAGGCCCUUUCGGGGGUACACGAGCGGCGAACGGGUGAGUAACACGUGAGCAAUCUGCCCUUCACUUCGGGAUAAGCCUCGGAAACGGGGUCUAAUACCGGAUAUGACUGCGCCAUGCAUGUGGUGUGGUGGAAAGUUCUGGCGGUGAGGGAUGAGCUCGCGGCCUAUCAGCUUGUUGGUGGGUAAUGGCCUACAAGGCUUCGACGGGUAGCCGGCCUGAGAGGGUGACCGGCCACACUGGGACUGAGACACGGCCCAGACCUCCGUACGGGAGCAGCAGGUGGG
RNAcentral lists this ribosomal RNA (330 nucleotides) under uncultured soil bacterium. Its description in RNAcentral is "bacterial SSU rRNA". It matches the Rfam family "Bacterial small subunit ribosomal RNA", at positions 27 to 358 of the family's 1533-position model. The record is from RNAcentral.